UGAGCCAUGACUAAUUAUAUGUAAUAGACCCCACAUGAUUACUCCCAUACCAUGUCCCUAUCUCUUAUUACAAUUCUAAUUUCAAGCAUGAUUCCCUUGUUAACUCUUUGAAGUAUUUGCUUGUGUUCUAAAGGCCAAUCAGUCCAUACUUGUUCUUUGCACUUGCUGGUUUAUAUGCAUAUCUUUUCAGCCAUUUUUAUGUGUUUUUUUAUUUGGAUCCUCUAUGUCCCCAACCCCUCACUUCCCUGCCUAUGAAUGCUGGAAUGAUACUGUUAUUUGGAUUUGCUCUGUGUGUGUUGUCUUGUUCUAAGUUAUUAUUCCUCUUAUUCCCUUGUU
RNAcentral lists this long non-coding RNA (336 nucleotides) under Nicotiana benthamiana. RNAcentral describes it as "long non-coding RNA (NBEN_LNC011693)". The record is from RNAcentral. Lineage: Eukaryota; Viridiplantae; Streptophyta; Magnoliopsida; Solanales; Solanaceae.